UUAAAUUGAAGAGUUUGAUCAUGGCUCAGAUUGAACGCUGGCGGCAGGCCUAACACAUGCAAGUCGAGCGGUAGCACAGAGAGCUUGCUCUCGGGUGACGAG
Molecule: ribosomal RNA, 102 nt
Filed under: Escherichia coli
Lineage: Bacteria; Pseudomonadati; Pseudomonadota; Gammaproteobacteria; Enterobacterales; Enterobacteriaceae
Also listed under: 4 other names
Description: partial 16S ribosomal RNA
Rfam family: Bacterial small subunit ribosomal RNA
Source: RNAcentral